GAUACAGUCAGCAGGGCAGGUGCAAGAGUUGAUGCAGGGAAUCAAACUUAGUUAUCUAUCUGUUAUUAGUUAGUUAUCGGGGGUAUUAUGGGGAAUUGAGGGAGUGAGGAAGUGUCGAUAAAUGUGAGAGUAGAGGGGCAGGGAAUGGGCAUUCACGUUUGUUAAGUCUUGUGGGACAGACCAGGCCUCUCGAAAAGCCUUGGAUCUGUUUCCCCUUUGUUUUCCAGUAAUUCAUUCAAGGAAGUAAUAGUUUAUUUCAUUGUUGAGUUCAUAUUGCCUAGGGUCCUAUCAAAUUUGGUAUCAGAGCAACAGUCCUGACAGGAUGACUCUCGCGGAUCGGGUUAGCGAAUUGGAAGCCAGUAUUGGAGGAAUGCGUCUAGAAAUGCAGGAAGGACUGGGAGCCAUGAGAAAGGAACUCCAAAGCCUUAUGACAAUCCUAAUCGAGAAGUUGGAGAUGAUGGCGCAAAAGCGGGAUGGACAUGAGCGUGAGCAGAAGGAAAAGGGUCCAGCAGCUAGCUCUUUUGGGGCCAUUGUCCAACCGGAGGUUCCAGCCACAUUAGAGGACAUUGGAGCCAGUUCCGAUGGCAGGAUUUGCAGGAAGGAAGGGUGGAGAACAAAGGGGCGCGGUCGGAAGUUGGAGCUGCCUAUUUUCAAUGGUGACAACCCCGAUGGAUGGAUUUUCCGAGCGGAAAGGUAUUUUAAUAUGAAUCAGCUUUCGAAUUGGGAAAAACUUGAAGCAGCAGUCAUGUGCCUGGAUGGAGAAGCUCUGGCAUGGUACCAAUGGGAAGAGAGUCAACAACCAUUGAAAAGUUGGGAGGAAUUGACGAAACUACUGCUGGAGCAUUUCCGACCGUCGCAAGAGGGAAUGAUCCUGGAAAAAAUUUUGGCACUACAUCAAGAAACUACAGUCCGGGAGUAUCAGCGUGCCUUUGAAAUCUUUCCCGCUCCUUUACUGUCAUUGCCAGAAGGGGUUUUAGUGGGAAGUUUUGUGAAUGGAUUAAAACCCACGAUAAGGGCUGAGGUUAGGAUGUUGAAACCUCAAGGAUUGGGCCAACUUAUGGAGCUAGCCCAAAGGGUGGAAGAUAGGGAUGAAUUAAUGGAACAUGCCCAAUCAUUUUUUGGCCCAAUUAGAAGUAACAAUAAUCCAUACAACCCCAGCCAAAUUAAGCACUGGACACUUCCACCCCUCCAGCCCGCUACAGAGAACAACGUAGACGAUUCCGUCUGCAGCGAUGCCCGGAUCCACCGCCGUCGCCACUGGGUUCCAACCGCCGCCGGUGCCGGCCAAAGGGGGGACUCCUUUCAAACAGCUUACCGAUGAAGACUUGCAAUUGAAAAGAGAAAAAGGGCUGUGUUAUCGAUGUGAUGAAAAAUAUGUGCCGGGCCAUAAAUGCCGAAACAAAAAGUUACAGGUGUUAGUGGUGUAAGAGGAGGAGCUGGUGGAAACUAAAGGGGAGGAAGGGAAUGUGGGGAAAUUGAUCGAGCAAUUGCUCAACUCCGUAGUGGGGCUGACCACUCCCAAAACUAUGAAAGUUAUGGGAUCAAUCAUGGGGCAGCCAGUGGUGGUCUUGAUCGAUUGUGGAGCGACCCACAAUUUUAUCUCAGCUGAGUUAGUGGAGCAAUUGGGAUUAAGUACAACGGAGACUACGAGCUAUGGAGUGUUUAUGGGAACUGGGCUUUCAGUCAGAGGGGCAGGUACCUGUAAAGGGGUGGUGUUUCAUUACCAAGCAUAGAAGUAACAGAGGAUUUUUUACCCUUGCAACUGGCGGUACCGACGUUAUAUUGGGGAUGAAAUGGUUAGGAUCCCUAGGACAAAUGCAAGUUAAUUGGGGCACACUUACAAUGCGAUUCAGAGUGCGAGGAGAACUCAUGCAGCUUCAAGGGGAUACGAGUUUGAGUAAAAUGCGAGUGAGUAUGAAAUCGAUGCAUCCUGUAUUUCAUGUUUCGCAAUUGCGAAAGUCUAUUGGGGAUGUCCAGUCGAUAUCUCAACUGCUGCCGCAGCCAAGGGCUACUGGAGAAUUCAUUUUUGAGCCUGAGGAGAUAUUGGGAGUAAGGCCUAAUUCCGAGUAUUCUAUUAAGGGGUCAGAGGUACUUAUCAAAUGGAAGGAUUUUCCCAACCAUGAGUCUUCGUGGGAGCAACUGGAAAUGAUUCAGCAGCAAUUCCCCGGCUUCCACCAUGGGGACAAGGUGGAUUUCGAGGAGGCGAGUAAUGAUAUACCAUCCACUAUAUUUACAUACACGAGGAGAAAGAAAGAAGGUGAUACAGUCAGCAGGGCAAUUGCAAGAGUUGAUUGAGGGAAUCAAACAUAGUUAUCUAUCUGUUAUUAGUUAGUUAUCGGGGGU
Molecule: long non-coding RNA, 2343 nt
Filed under: Olea europaea subsp. europaea
Lineage: Eukaryota; Viridiplantae; Streptophyta; Magnoliopsida; Lamiales; Oleaceae
Source: RNAcentral